CCCCCCCUCAUCCCUUUCAUGCCCUUGCUUAUUAAAGAUAUGACAUUUACUCAUGAGGGGAACAAGACAUUCAUUGACAAUCUAGUAAACUUUGAAAAAAUGCGCAUGAUUGCAAAUACUGCCAGAACGGUGCGCUACUACAGGAGCCAGCCAUUCAAUCCGGAUGCUGCUCAAGCUAAUAAGAACCAUCAGGAUGUCCGGAGUUAUGUACGGCAAUUAAAUGUGAUUGACAACCAGAGAACUUUAUCACAGAUGUCACACAGAUUAGAGCCUCGCAGGCCAUAGACAUCUGCAGUGCCCAGAGUGAUGCUCCGUCUCCAGUCCACAAUCUUUCAAAAGAUGCUGUGUAUGCUACUACUGACUGUGUUGCUACUAGAGAAUUCCCCAGAAUGAGCAAGAGACACCUCCUGAGAGCCCCUCGGGGCCACAUCCUGCUUUCCGACCACACAGGAGAAGCGAUCUGUCUUGUCUAACGCGGACAUGCCGUAGCUUAGGAACCAUCAGCUGUAGUCAUCUCCUUCACGGUUGGCACACCACCGCCAGGCUCACGUGAAGGCAUAACCUCGGCGAGGGCUACACCAGGCCCCUGACAUCCCUUCCCAGGCUGUUGCAGCAUGAGACUGUGCCGUGGAUAGGUUUGACUUGGAAUCGCCUGCGAUGAUAUAAUUGAAUGAUUUGUUUACUUAGCACCUUAUUUGGGGUCUGGGUUCUGGGGAGGGUGUUGACCAUAAAAGUCCAAAUUAUCCAUCAUGUUCCUCCAUCGUCAUAAUCUUACCUCUGAAGGAAUGGAACCUCAUCACAACACUAUGAAACAUUAUGACUGUUCAGUCUGUAAUUUCGGAAUGAUCUAUAGAAUAAUAUGUUUACAUUGUAACUUUUAAAAACUUACAAAUCAGGAUUACACACAUGAGAAUUCCACUAAGAAACACCAAGGUUCUUAAUAUCGCCAGCGUUAAGAUAGAAAGUAACAUUUCAGAAGAGCACAAUAUACACAAAACAUUUUUUCAAAUUGAAAUAUUUUCCUGGGCAUUAAAAAACCUUUCCACUACAAAUUUAUUGUUACUGAUGAAAAAAAAAGCAUAUUUUCUGGACUUAAAUGUUAUUACAAAAAUCUUAAUUUUCAGCAAUUGUUUUGCACUUUCAGAUAGAUUGUAAAUAGGUUAUGCAGUCAAUGGUAUAGAAUUAUUUAUUUGCUACAUAAUAGACAUUGUGCCAAAUAAUUCCUUUUUAUUUAUUUUAUUCAGUAUGAAAUUUUGGAGUACAUUUUUUCUGUUUUCUUAAUUAGACUACAUUUAAUGUAUAGGAAUUGUAUGUACAUAUCUCUUCUGUAAAUAACAGCCAGUAUCUUCAUUAAAUAUACUUGACAAG
RNAcentral lists this long non-coding RNA (1368 nucleotides) under Rattus norvegicus (Norway rat). RNAcentral's name for it is "long non-coding RNA NONRATT018260". Lineage: Eukaryota; Metazoa; Chordata; Mammalia; Rodentia; Muridae. The record is from RNAcentral.